GAUGAACGCUGGCGGCGUGCCUAAUACAUGCAAGUCGAGCGAACAGACGAGGAGCUUGCUCCUCUGCCGUUAGCGGCGGACGGGUGAGUAACACGUGGAUAACCUACCUAUAAGACUGGGAUAACUUCGGGAAACCGGAGCUAAUACAGGAUAUUAUAUUGAACCGCAUGGUUCAAUAGUGAAAGACGGUUUUGCUGUCACUUAUAGAUGGAUCCGCGCCGCAUUAGCUAGUUGGUAAGGUAACGGCUUACCAAGGCAACGAUGCGUAGCCGACCUGAGAGGGUGAUCGGCCACACUGGAACUGAGACACGGUCCAGACUCCUACGGGAGGCAGCAGUAGGGAAUAUUCCGCAAUGGGCGAAAGCCUGACGGAGCAACGCCGCGUGAGUGAUGAAGGUCUUCGGAUCGUAAAACUCUGUUAUUAGGGAAGAACAAAUGUGUAAGUAACUAUGCACGUCUUGACGGUACCUAAUCAGAAAGCCACGGCUAACUACGUG
This 497-nucleotide ribosomal RNA is filed under the name uncultured bacterium. RNAcentral's name for it is "partial 16S ribosomal RNA". It matches the Rfam family "Bacterial small subunit ribosomal RNA", at positions 28 to 507 of the family's 1533-position model. The record is from RNAcentral.